Molecule: ribosomal RNA, 795 nt
Filed under: uncultured Gammaproteobacteria bacterium
Lineage: Bacteria; Pseudomonadati; Pseudomonadota; Gammaproteobacteria
Description: bacterial SSU rRNA
Rfam family: Bacterial small subunit ribosomal RNA
Source: RNAcentral
GCCAUGGCCCGGGAUUAGUUUGAUCCUGGCUCAGAUUGAACGCUGGCGGCAGGCUUAACACAUGCAAGUCGAGCGGAGACUUCGGUCUUAGCGGCGAACGGGUGAGUAAUACCUAGGAAUCUGCCUAUUAGUGGGGGAUAACGAAUCGAAAGGUUCGCUAAUACCGCAUACGUCCUACGGGAGAAAGAGGGGGAUCUUCGGACCUCUCGCUAAUAGAUGAGCCUAGGCCGGAUUAGCUAGUUGGUAGGGUAAAGGCCUACCAAGGCGACGAUCUGUAGCUGGUCUGAGAGGAUGGCCAGCCACACUGGAACUGAGACACGGUCCAGACUCCUACGGGAGGCAGCAGUGGGGAAUAUUGGACAAUGGGGGCAACCCUGAUCCAGCCAUGCCGCGUGUGUGAAGAAGGCCUUCGGGUUGUAAAGCACUUUAAGCGAGGAGGAAGGUUUUUAGUUUAAUACACUAAAGAAUUGACGUUACUCGCAGAAUAAGCACCGGCUAACUCUGUGCCAGCAGCCGCGGUAAUACAGAGGGUGCAAGCGUUAAUCGGAAUUACUGGGCGUAAAGCGCGCGUAGGCGGUUUGUUAAGUCGGAUGUGAAAUCCCUGGGCUCAACCUAGGCACUGCAUCCGAUACUGGCUAACUAGAGUGUGGGAGAGGAAGGUAGAAUUCCAGGUGUAGCGGUGAAAUGCGUAGAGAUCUGGAGGAAUACCGAUGGCGAAGGCAGCCUCCUGGCCUAACACUGACGCUGAGGUGCGAAAGCAUGGGGAGCAAACAGGAUUAGAUACCCUGGUAGUCC